CAGCUUGUUGGUGGGGUAACGGCCUACCAAGGCAUCGACGGGUAGCUGGUCUGAGAGGAUGAUCAGCCACACUGGGACUGAGACACGGCCCAGACUCCUACGGGAGGCAGCAGUGGGGAAUCUUGCACAAUGGGCGAAAGCCUGAUGCAGCAACGCCGCGUGCGGGAAGAAGGCCCUCGGGUUGUAAACCGCUUUCAGAAGGAACGAAACUGACGGUACUUUCAGAAGAAGGUGCGGCCAACUACGUGCCAGCAGCCGCGGUGACACGUAGGCACCAAGCGUUGUCCGGAUUUAUUGGGCGUAAAGAGCUCGUAGGCGGUUCAGUAAGUCGGGUGUGAAAACUUUGGGCUUAACCCAAAGCGUGCAUCCGAUACUGCUGUGACUUGAGUACGGUAGGGGAGCGGGGAAUUCCUAGUGUAGCGGUGAAAUGCGCAGAUAUUAGGAGGAACACCGGUGGCGAAGGCGCCGCUCUGGGCCGAAACUGA
This 485-nucleotide ribosomal RNA is filed under the name uncultured Actinomycetes bacterium. RNAcentral's name for it is "SSU rRNA". It matches the Rfam family "Bacterial small subunit ribosomal RNA", at positions 242 to 743 of the family's 1533-position model. Lineage: Bacteria; Bacillati; Actinomycetota; Actinomycetes. The record is from RNAcentral.